RNAcentral lists this ribosomal RNA (433 nucleotides) under uncultured bacterium. Its description in RNAcentral is "partial 16S ribosomal RNA". It matches the Rfam family "Bacterial small subunit ribosomal RNA", at positions 29 to 507 of the family's 1533-position model. The record is from RNAcentral.
AACGAACGCUGGCGGCAUGCCUAACACAUGCAAGUCGAACGAGACCUUCGGGUCUAGUGGCGCACGGGUGCGUAACGCGUGGGAACCUGCCCUUAGGUUCGGAAUAACUCCCCGAAAGGGGUGCUAAUACCGGAUAAUGUCUUCGGACCAAAGAUUUAUCGCCUUUGGAUGGGCCCGCGUUGGAUUAGCUAGUUGGUAGGGUAAAAGCCUACCAAGGCGACGAUCCAUAGCUGGUCUGAGAGGAUGAUCAGCCACACUGGGACUGAGACACGGCCCAGACUCCUACGGGAGGCAGCAGUGGGGAAUACUGGACAAUGGGCGAAAGCCUGAUCCAGCAAUGCCGCGUGAGUGAUGAAGGCCUUAGGGUUGUAAAGCUCUUUUACCCGGGAUGAUAAUGACAGUACCGGGAGAAUAAGCGCCGGCUAACUCCGUG